GAUGAACGCUGGCGGCGUGCUUAACACAUGCAAGUCGAACGAGAAGUGAAGACGGAAACCUUCGGGCGGAAGGCUUUAUUUCGAGUGGCGGACGGGUGAGUAACGCGUGGGUAACCUGCCUCAUACAGGGGGAUAACAGUUGGAAACGACUGUUAAUACCGCAUAAGACCACAGCACCGCAUGGUGCGGGGGUAAAAACUCCGGUGGUAUGAGAUGGACCCGCGUUCGAUUAGCCAGUUGGCGGGGUAACGGCCCACCAAAGCGACGAUCGAUAGCCGACCUGAGAGGAUGACCGGCCACAUUGGGACUGAGACACGGCCCAAACUCCUACGGGAGGCAGCAGUGGGGAAUAUUGCACAAUGGGGGAAACCCUGAUGCAGCGACGCCGCGUGAGUGAAGAAGUAUUUCGGUAUGUAAAGCUCUAUCAGCAGGGAAGAAAAUGACGGUACCUGAGGAAGAAGCCCCGGCUAACUACGUG
Molecule: ribosomal RNA, 478 nt
Filed under: uncultured bacterium
Lineage: Bacteria
Description: partial 16S ribosomal RNA
Rfam family: Bacterial small subunit ribosomal RNA
Source: RNAcentral